AAAUAGAAGGGUUGUCUGAA
Molecule: small nuclear RNA, 20 nt
Filed under: Arabidopsis thaliana (thale cress)
Lineage: Eukaryota; Viridiplantae; Streptophyta; Magnoliopsida; Brassicales; Brassicaceae
Description: snRNA_05234
Source: RNAcentral